Molecule: long non-coding RNA, 1387 nt
Organism: Helianthus annuus (common sunflower)
Lineage: Eukaryota; Viridiplantae; Streptophyta; Magnoliopsida; Asterales; Asteraceae
Exons: 2
Source: RefSeq, a predicted model, not a curated record
CAAAAAUUUAUUUCUAGAUAGAGUAAACUGUAAUUUUAUUCCCUGAGAUUUAGUCCAAUUGGUACUCUGACCCCCUAAUGAAAUAAUUACAAUUUUACCCUCCAAUGUUUGGUGUUAUGUCGCAAGUUUACCCUCUGCCGUCAAAUAAGUUAACAGAUCUGUUAAAUGGACUGUGAAAUGACUAUGUUACCCUUUCAUAUUACCCCUAUGGUUUGUUCUACUCUGCAAUAUUACCCCCUCUCUCAUAAGCCCUCCACCACCACUAUUAACCACCACUGCCACCACCUGUCACCACCACCAUCUCCCCUACCAACCAUCAUCACAUAUUCAAACAUUAUCAAAAAGUGUUGAAAUACCCACUUCAAACAACCAUUACAGAAAAGAACCAAAAAGAUAAGUGGGGUAGCAUACCCAUUUCAAGAAUCUUUAAAAACAUAAUAAAGAUUCAAGAUUCUAUCUUUCCCACUUCAAAUUUUGCAGAAAGAAAGAAACAUUACCGUGACUUAUACCCAAUUCAGAAGAAAAGAAGAAAGAAACAUUAUUGUGCCUGAAUACCCAAUUCGAAAGUUAGGGUUUCGUUUACUCUAAUCGAUUAAAUCAAACCACCUUCAAUCCCAUAUCAUCAUCACUCCAAUCGAUUAUAUCAAAGAUGUGUGUAGAUCUGGAAUGUGAAGGUGCAGAUCGGAGGGGUGUGUGUGUGUGUGUGUUUUUGAUGGCUGAAGGUGCAGGUGGGUUAUCACCCCAAAAUGGGUGAUGGAGCUCGGUGGUGGUGGCUGGUAUAGGGUGUGGUGGUAGUGGCGGUGGUUGUGGCUGGUGUAGCGUGUGGCGGCAAUGGUGGUUUUCGAUAAUGGUGGCUAGGGUGAAACGGUGGAGAUGGAGAUGGUUGUGGUGGUGAAUGGCGGUGGUAGUGGUGGUGCACUUCACUGGAUUUACAUGAACAUCUAGUACUUCUUUGCCCAGAUCUUGAUCGCAAGUCUCACCAGAACAUAAUCCCUGCAAACAUCACGAAUCUGAAGAUCAAACAUCAAUAUGAAGAUCAAACAUCAAUCGGAAGCGGACCGGCAGUGGUUGGGUUCGACGACGGCGGGUGGUUGGGGUAGACGACAGCGGCGGUUGGGAACCAUGAGAUUUUACUGUCGGGUGGUUGUGUUCGACGACGGCGGUGGCGGACCGGCAGUGGUGGUGCCAGCAGCGGAGAAGAAGAUGAUACAGAGAUGUAAGGAUUAUUGAAUGGUGUUAUUUUUUACUGAAUGGUGUUAUCUUUUAUGAAUUGUGUUAUUUUUUACUGAAUGGUGUUAUUUUUUACUGAAUGGUGUUAUUUUUUACUGAAUGGUGUUAUUCUUUUCUGAAUGGUGUUAUUUUGUUUCUCAAUGGUGUAUUUUUCUUA